RNAcentral lists this antisense RNA (46 nucleotides) under Rhizobium oryziradicis. Its description in RNAcentral is "ctRNA". It matches the Rfam family "ctRNA". Rfam says of the family: This family represents a group of ctRNAs (or counter-transcribed RNAs) from p42d and related plasmids. ctRNAs are small, highly structured, antisense sequences which are involved in negative regulation. Members of this family are known to bind to the mRNA of repC causing translational repression. Lineage: Bacteria; Pseudomonadati; Pseudomonadota; Alphaproteobacteria; Hyphomicrobiales; Rhizobiaceae. The record is from Rfam by way of RNAcentral.
AGAAGGGCUUCCACAACGGAAACGUUUGGAGGCCCUUUUUUUUUAU